This 450-nucleotide ribosomal RNA is filed under the name uncultured bacterium. RNAcentral describes it as "bacterial SSU rRNA". It matches the Rfam family "Bacterial small subunit ribosomal RNA", at positions 354 to 796 of the family's 1533-position model. The record is from RNAcentral.
GUGGGGAAUAUUGGACAAUGGGCGAAAGCCUGAUCCAGCCAUGCCGCGUGUGUGAAGAAGGUCUUCGGAUUGUAAAGCACUUUAAGUUGGGAGGAAGGGCAGUAAGUUAAUACCUUGCUGUUUUGACGUUACCGACAGAAUAAGCACCGGCUAACUUCGUGCCAGCAGCCGCGGUAAUACGAAGGGUGCAAGCGUUAAUCGGAAUUAAUGGGCGUAAAGCGCGCGUAGGUGGUUUUGUAAGUUGGAGGUGAAAUCCCCGGGCUCAACCUGGGAACUGCCUCCAAAACUGCAUGACUAGAGUACGGUAGAGGGUAGUGGAAUUUCCUGUGUAGCGGUGAAAUGCGUAGAUAUAGGAAGGAACACCAGUGGCGAAGGCGACUACCUGGACUGAUACUGACACUGAGGUGCGAAAGCGUGGGGAGCAAACAGGAUUAGAUACCCCGGUAGUCC